Long non-coding RNA from Pantherophis guttatus, 631 nucleotides. RefSeq lists it as uncharacterized. The record is from RefSeq and is a predicted model, not a curated record. Lineage: Eukaryota; Metazoa; Chordata; Lepidosauria; Squamata; Colubridae.
CUUGAACAGUGAAUGAUAUGCCUGGAACUAUGUCAUAAACAUAAUUGUUAAUACAGUCAGCCAAUCAACAGCGACCUCUCAGGCUAGGGUCUAGGUUCAAUCAGCCAAGUAGCCCGCUCUUCAAUUUUCAUAGAAUGGGCAAAUUGUCCAUUGCUAAUUGAAAUAUCCCAUCUCUGGGAGCCAGUUAAAGAUGGAAGACAAAGCACAAACUGUUUUGUACUCAAGAUAACUAUAAUACUACCAAUUCUACAAGCUAUUUUACAGAAUAUGAAGUAUUCAUAUAUAAAAAAGAAGUACAUACCAAAGGUUUGUAAAUGCUGUCCCAAAGGGUUGGCUUCUACACAUGUACUUGGAUGAAAAUGAAUGCUUUGUUAGAGCUACAAGACUUAGAUGGUGGAAGGAAUGACAUCAGAGCUCUCUUUCCAGAAGAGUGCAGUGUUAGGAGUAGCCUUAAGAUACUGAACAGAACCCUCAAAAUCCCAGGCCUCUGGUAGAAGACCUGAGAUUGAGAAAGCACAUACUCCCCAUAGGGGUGAGAAGGAAUUUUUUAAAAAUCAACAAUGCAAUAUGCUUGGACAUCAGCCUAUGUUAUUUUUUCAUAUGUUCUUUUAAAUAAAGAAGUGUGUACAGA